GUGGAUUAGAUACCCUGGUAGUCCACGCCGUAAACGAUGUCGACUAGCCGUUGGCCUCCUUGAGGGGUUAGUGGCGCAGCUAACGCGAUAAGUCGACCGCCUGGGGAGUACGGCCGCAAGGUUAAAACUCAAAUGAAUUGACGGGGGCCCGCACAAGCGGUGGAGCAUGUGGUUUAAUUCGACGCAACGCGAAGAACCUUACCUACUCUUGACAUCCAGAUGACCUCGUAGAGAUAUGAGGGUGCCUUCGGGAAAUCUGAGACAGGUGCUGCAUGGUUGUCGUCAACU
Molecule: ribosomal RNA, 288 nt
Filed under: uncultured bacterium
Lineage: Bacteria
Description: partial 16S ribosomal RNA
Rfam family: Bacterial small subunit ribosomal RNA
Source: RNAcentral